This 1029-nucleotide ribosomal RNA is filed under the name Staphylococcus warneri. RNAcentral describes it as "bacterial SSU rRNA". It matches the Rfam family "Bacterial small subunit ribosomal RNA", at positions 59 to 1068 of the family's 1533-position model. Lineage: Bacteria; Bacillati; Bacillota; Bacilli; Caryophanales; Staphylococcaceae. The record is from RNAcentral.
AAGUCGAGCGACAGAUAAGGAGCUUGCUCCUUUGACGUUAGCGGCGGACGGGUGAGUAACACGUGGAUAACCUACCUAUAAGACUGGGAUAACUUCGGGAAACCGGAGCUAAUACCGGAUAACAUAUUGAACCGCAUGGUUCAAUAGUGAAAGGCGGCUUUGCUGUCACUUAUAGAUGGAUCCGCGCCGUAUUAGCUAGUUGGUAAGGUAACGGCUUACCAAGGCAACGAUACGUAGCCGACCUGAGAGGGUGAUCGGCCACACUGGAACUGAGACACGGUCCAGACUCCUACGGGAGGCAGCAGUAGGGAAUCUUCCGCAAUGGGCGAAAGCCUGACGGAGCAACGCCGCGUGAGUGAUGAAGGUCUUCGGAUCGUAAAACUCUGUUAUCAGGGAAGAACAAAUGUGUAAGUAACUGUGCACAUCUUGACGGUACCUGAUCAGAAAGCCACGGCUAACUACGUGCCAGCAGCCGCGGUAAUACGUAGGUGGCAAGCGUUAUCCGGAAUUAUUGGGCGUAAAGCGCGCGUAGGCGGUUUUUUAAGUCUGAUGUGAAAGCCCACGGCUCAACCGUGGAGGGUCAUUGGAAACUGGAAAACUUGAGUGCAGAAGAGGAAAGUGGAAUUCCAUGUGUAGCGGUGAAAUGCGCAGAGAUAUGGAGGAACACCAGUGGCGAAGGCGACUUUCUGGUCUGUAACUGACGCUGAUGUGCGAAAGCGUGGGGAUCAAACAGGAUUAGAUACCCUGGUAGUCCACGCCGUAAACGAUGAGUGCUAAGUGUUAGGGGGUUUCCGCCCCUUAGUGCUGCAGCUAACGCAUUAAGCACUCCGCCUGGGGAGUACGACCGCAAGGUUGAAACUCAAAGGAAUUGACGGGGACCCGCACAAGCGGUGGAGCAUGUGGUUUAAUUCGAAGCAACACGAAGAACCUUACCUAAUCUUGACAUCCUUUGACUGCUCUAGAGAUAGAGUCUUCCCCUUCGCGGGACAAAGUGACAGGUGGUGCAUGGUUGUCGGCACGUCGUGUCCA